GAGGGAAUACCAGAGUGGUCAAAUGGGUCGGACUCAAAAUCCGAUAGCUUAGUGCUUACAUGGGUUCAAAUCCCAUUUCCCUCA
This 84-nucleotide transfer RNA is filed under the name Candidatus Woesearchaeota archaeon. RNAcentral's name for it is "tRNA-Leu". It matches the Rfam family "tRNA". From Rfam's summary of the family: Transfer RNA (tRNA) molecules are approximately 80 nucleotides in length. Their secondary structure includes four short double-helical elements and three loops (D, anti-codon, and T loops). The record is from RNAcentral. Lineage: Archaea; Nanobdellati; Candidatus Woesearchaeota.